UACGAAGGGGGCUAGCGUUGUUCGGAAUUACUGGGCGUAAAGGGCUCGUAGGUGGCCAACUAAGUCAGACGUGAAAUCCCUCGGCUUAACCGGGGAACUGCGUCUGAUACUGGAUGGCUUGAGUUUGGGAGAGGGACGCGGAAUUCCAGGUGUAGCGGUGAAAUGCGUAGAUAUCUGGAGGAACACCGGUGGCGAAGGCGGGUCUCUGGGCAGUAACUGACGCUGAGGAGCGAAAGCGUGGGAGCGAACAGG
RNAcentral lists this ribosomal RNA (252 nucleotides) under uncultured bacterium. Its description in RNAcentral is "partial 16S ribosomal RNA". It matches the Rfam family "Bacterial small subunit ribosomal RNA", at positions 524 to 776 of the family's 1533-position model. The record is from RNAcentral.